This is a long non-coding RNA of Grus americana (Whooping crane), 949 nucleotides long. RefSeq lists it as uncharacterized. The transcript is spliced from 6 exons. Lineage: Eukaryota; Metazoa; Chordata; Aves; Gruiformes; Gruidae. The record is from RefSeq and is a predicted model, not a curated record.
GAAACCUUUCCUCCAGCACAUACUAGUAUGUUUUGCAAGGCAAAAAUAAGCAGUAAUGCAAACAUCACACUUUUUUUUUUUUUCCACCCCCUCUCUUUUUUUCCCUUUGCUUCAGGAAAGCGGGAGGAGGUGAGAAAGGAUCGACACUUUAUCCCACCAAGGGCUUUUUCUAAGAUGCCUGCUGGGAACACUCGCUGUAUGCUUCUCUUCAGCAGUUUUGAGAUGAACACGGCGCUUGUUUUAUGCUUAGACCGACCUCAUCUGUGAUACCCGAACAGUUUCUACAUGGCCAGUGGAGAGAUCUUGCGCUUACGCACGUGCAUAUAUGCGCACACACAGGUACACCCCACCGGUGAAGGAUUAGUCGGUGUAAGAAAUCCGGGAGGAAAAAUUAUGAAUUCACAGAAAAUACACAAAAUACUAUGCCCAGAUAGCCAGGAGAAGCGACAUUUAGAGCACCUGUACUGAAAGGGAGAAGGUAGAAGAGCUGGUGUGCGUGCCCUGCUUCCUGUACUGUUACGCAGAUUCUGAACACAGCAAAUCGAGGAGAGGGCUACGCCAAACGGACGGCUCUCCCGGACGGGCUCGGCGCCGCGCACACCGGGGGAAGGUCUGAACGCAAGCUCGACGGCAACUCUCUGCUCGGUCUGCCAAGGCUCCAGCUCCAAACUGCUUCUCGGCAUCCUCCACCUUCUUUUUCAAAACCAGGCACCAACACCGUGGACUGGAAGCCUGCAGCUGGGAGCAAAGAGUGACUGCCGCAGCCCGCUGAUCCCCGUCGGCUGAGGCACCCCCAGACAUAGCAGCGCACCCCCUUUCCAGCAGCUGAGCCCCGCACAGCGGCCGUGGCACGACGGAGAUGCGGGUCUCGUGGGUAUUCACCCCAUCUACGCCAGCGUCUGAGAGCUCAGCUGCCUCUCGCAGAGCCUGAGGAUGUCUGCAGCAGCCU